CCUACGGGAGGCAGCAGUGGGGAAUAUUGGGCAAUGGAGGAAACUCUGACCCAGCAACGCCGCGUGAAUGAUGAAGGUCUUCGGAUUGUAAAGUUCUUUUCUAAGGGAAGAAGAAAGUGACGGUACCUUAGGAAUAAGCCUCGGCUAACUACGUGCCCGCAGCCGCGGUAAUACGUAGGAGGCAAGCGUUAUCCGGAAUGACUGGGCGUAAAGGGUGCGUAGGUGGUUCAGCAAGUUAGUAGCGUAAUUCCGGAGCUCAACUUUGGCACUACUACUAAAACUGUUGGACUUGAGUGCAGGAGGGGCAACUGGAAUGUCUAGUGUAGCGGUGGAAUGCGUAGAUAUUAGGAAGAACACCGGUGGCGAAGGCGAGUUGCUGGACUGUAACUGACACUGAGGCACGAAAGCGUGGGGAGCAAACAGGAUUAGAUACCCUGGUAGUC
RNAcentral lists this ribosomal RNA (443 nucleotides) under uncultured bacterium. RNAcentral's name for it is "partial 16S ribosomal RNA". It matches the Rfam family "Bacterial small subunit ribosomal RNA", at positions 338 to 795 of the family's 1533-position model. The record is from RNAcentral.